This 666-nucleotide ribosomal RNA is filed under the name Bacillus sp. TA51. Its description in RNAcentral is "bacterial SSU rRNA". It matches the Rfam family "Bacterial small subunit ribosomal RNA", at positions 126 to 775 of the family's 1533-position model. Lineage: Bacteria; Bacillati; Bacillota; Bacilli; Caryophanales; Bacillaceae. The record is from RNAcentral.
CUGCCCUGUAAGACUGGGAUAACUCCGGGAAACCCGGGGCUAAUACCGGAUAGUUCUUUCCCCCGCAUGGGGGAGAGUGGAAAGGCGGCUUCGGCUGCCACUUACAGAUGNACCCGCGGCGCAUUAGCUAGUUGGUGAGGUAACGGCUCACCAAGGCGACGAUGCGUAGCCGACCUGAGAGGGUGAUCGGCCACACUGGGACUGAGACACGGCCCAGACUCCUACGGGAGGCAGCAGUAGGGAAUCUUCCGCAAUGGACGAAAGUCUGACGGAGCAACGCCGCGUGAGUGAUGAAGGUUUUCGGAUCGUAAAGCUCUGUUGUUAGGGAAGAACAAGUGCCGUUCGAAUAGGGCGGCACCUUGACGGUACCUAACCAGAAAGCCACGGCUAACUACGUGCCAGCAGCCGCGGUAAUACGUAGGUGGCAAGCGUUGUCCGGAAUUAUUGGGCGUAAAGCGCGCGCAGGCGGUCUCUUAAGUCUGAUGUGAAAGCCCACGGCUCAACCGUGGAGGGUCAUUGGAAACUGGGGGACUUGAGUACAGAAGAGGAAAGUGGAAUUCCACGUGUAGCGGUGAAAUGCGUAGAUAUGUGGAGGAACACCAGUGGCGAAGGCGACUUUCUGGUCUGUAACUGACGCUGAGGCGCGAAAGCGUGGGGAGCAAACAG